This 482-nucleotide ribosomal RNA is filed under the name uncultured bacterium. Its description in RNAcentral is "partial 16S ribosomal RNA". It matches the Rfam family "Bacterial small subunit ribosomal RNA", at positions 30 to 507 of the family's 1533-position model. The record is from RNAcentral.
AUUGAACGCUGGCGGCAUGCCUUACACAUGCAAGUCGAACGGUAACAGGUCUUCGGAUGCUGCCGUGUGGCGCACGGGUGUGUAAUACAUCGGAACGUGCCCGAUCGUGGGGGAUAACGCGGCGAAAGCUUUGCUAAUACCGCAUACGAUCUACGGAUGAAAGCGGGGGAUCUUCGGACCUCGCGCGGUCGGAGCGGCCGAUGGCAGAUUAGGUAGUUGGUGGGAUAAAAGCUUACCAAGCCGACGAUCUGUAGCUGGUCUGAGAGGAUGAUCAGCCACACUGGGACUGAGACACGGCCCAGACUCCUACGGGAGGCAGCAGUGGGGAAUUUUGGACAAUGGGCGAAAGCCUGAUCCAGCCAUGCCGCGUGCAGGAUGAAGGCCUUCGGGUUGUAAACUGCUUUUGUACGGAACGAAAAGCCUCAUGCUAAUAAAGAGGGGUCAUGACGGUACCGUAAGAAUAAGCACCGGCUAACUACGUG